AUGACGAUGACGCCGUUUUGCUGCAACCGUAGUAGCUUUUUGCUACCACCGCUCCGGCGUGGCCGGGUCCGGCGAGGUAGGCAGAGCUCCGAUGCAUGCGAGGGAGGCGUCGCCGUGGUAGCACCCCGUAGCACCGGUUGCAGCAUCUCCCGUUGUCACUGCCCCUCGGUCGCCGGCGAGAUGGGAUGGUCGCCGGCGAGCUUCGAGCGGGGAGGGGAGCGCGUGGCGCUGCGACCGGGGGGGCGGGGGGGGGAGGGGGAAGGGAUGGGGAAGGGGUGGGGAGGAGAGGGCAGAAGAAGAGGGCGGCGCGCGCCCCGGCGAGCUGCGCGAGAUGUGGGGGAGCUGCGAGCUGCGCGAGGAAGAGGGAGACCGGCCCAAUGUUUCGGCCGGCCCUUGUGCAGCGCGUCCACCACCAUGACUACACUACACUUCCGGGACCCAUCUGACAGCGGGCCGAUGGGUUGUCGUGAGAAACAUAGAGUUCAUGAGGAAGCCACGGAGCGCACGGCCAGCGGGAUGGUCGUGCUGCAUCCUGGGACGCCCGCAGCCCCACCAACGUGCCUGGCCGUCUUGGACUACGGCGUCGUUCACCCACGAUCCAUUCGUAGACAAAUACCCAUCGGCCCCGUGACGACGCCGCCCGUAGCUGACACCACGUACGGCAGUCAUGAAUUAUUGCGGUCCGAUUCACUGAGUGGAGACAAUGUGGCCAUUGGGCUCGUCAAUCAUGGAUGUCUAAUAGCAAUUCCUCAAUUUACUUUACCCACCCUCUCAUCACAAUCAUUCGCAUCUUUGCACCUGCCUGGAGGCUGCCUCCCUCGGUCCCUCUCAUAUAAUGCUGUCCCUCCCCUCCCCUCCCGGCCUUUCUCUCCCUCCCCCGGUGCUCCGAUCGAUCAUCCCAUUCGCCCGCCGUCAUCACUGCCAUCCUCCACGCCUGCCCCCUUCCGGCCCUCUCCUUUUACAAUUACACCACCACAAGUGAACCCACAACCGCCGCUACUUAAGCGCACCUCGCACAACCCUACCUUUUGCUACUUCAUGGGCCUCGAGCUCGAUCAGCUUGAGCUUUUGUCUCACCAGCUCCCUCCGGUCCGGACGUCCGCAACCGACGACGGCGCGACCGCCGCGGACGAUGAAGACCGGUGUGCCACGCCGACGUCGGAGGCGAACAUGCUGCGCGCGCCGUCACUGUGCCCCCCGGCGCCGAGGAAGCCGAGGCCGGCGCGGGCCAAGAGGAGGCAGCAGCACUGCUACUACCGCGGGCGGCGGCGCCGGUGCAGCAGCGGGCCGGCGCACGCGCGGUACUGGAUCGUCGCCGUGCCACACGACCUCGCCGCAGUGUUCAUCGCGGCGCGGCCGCCCUCGCCUUCGAGCUCGCCGUGCCGGCCGCCGGGAGGCAAGAAGAUCCGAGUGCACGUCAAAAAUAAAAAUUACAUUCAAAAUCAUGGGAGUGUCGGUGUCUUCUUCCUCCUGCAUCCACCGGCAGAGCGCCUGAGCAUAGCUCGAUGCCGCCUCUGGGCCUCCCUCCCCCUCGCCAGAGCAACCAUUCUUAGACUCGGAAGCUUGUGGAAGAGCGAUUCAAUGAUUCUGUCCACGGUGAAGUACUAUUGCCCCUGCAUUUUCCUGGACAAGCUUGCGGCAGAACUAUCAGUGCUAGUCCAUCAUAUGUGUCCAUACUUUUAUGCAAACACCAUAUACUGGUAUCAGUCUGAGUAUAUACACCCUCCCAAGACUCCCCACAAAGGAGUACUCAUGUACUGGUGCGUCGCUGUGGUGGCUCUUUGCAUGCAUGCAUGCAUGCACGGAGCUGCCAUGCGUUAUGGCCGCCGUGGAUUCGUGAUAAAUGGUGUCUGCUUUCAUUUGUGGUUGCACGAGGAGGCGAGGCGACGGGGCGUGCGCGAGGUCGACCGGAGGUCGCCGCCACCGGCGCUCAUCGUCCGCGAGGAGGACCAGGCGACCCUUGCGGCCGUCUACCGGGAGAGCGAGGAGGACGAGCGGCGCAGGGCGGAGGCGGAAGAGGAGGCUCGGUACGAGGCGGCAAUGGCGCAGGCCCUUGCCCUCUCCGCGGCGGGCGACAGCGUGGUGCCGCCGGUGGCCCCGCCGUCCCCCAUCAAGCCGGAGCCGGAGCGGGAGCCGUCCCCCAUCGAGCGCUACUCCUGGACGGGAGUAGUGCGCGAGUGGGUACGCGCGCCACCGGUCUGGAUGGGAGCGACGCCAGCGCAGGAGCAGGCGUACCUCGAGCACUGGCGCACGAUCAGGGUGGCCGAGGAGCGCCGCGACAGCGAGUACCUCGAGAUGCUCGAGCGCGACCUCGAGGAGGAGGAGCGUGAGGCCGAGGAGGAGGCGCGCCAGGCCGCGGCUGCACAGGCAGCCGCACACACCCCCGCGCCGGCACUGCCUGCGCCGGCACUGCCCGACAUGACGGCGCUCUGGAACACGGCGUUCGCCUGGGCCGGGCCGGCGCCGACGCUCAUCGACCUCACGGACCCCGAGGACGACAACGACGACGCCUAG
This 2514-nucleotide ribosomal RNA is filed under the name Triticum aestivum (bread wheat). RNAcentral's name for it is "partial small subunit ribosomal RNA". The record is from RNAcentral. Lineage: Eukaryota; Viridiplantae; Streptophyta; Magnoliopsida; Poales; Poaceae.